Molecule: ribosomal RNA, 492 nt
Filed under: uncultured bacterium
Lineage: Bacteria
Description: partial 16S ribosomal RNA
Rfam family: Bacterial small subunit ribosomal RNA
Source: RNAcentral
AGUGAACGCUGGCGGUAGGCCUAACACAUGCAAGUCGAACGGCAGCACAGUAAGAGCUUGCUCUUACGGGUGGCGAGUGGCGGACGGGUGAGGAAUACAUCGGAAUCUACUUUUUCGUGGGGGAUAACGUAGGGAAACUUACGCUAAUACCGCAUACGACCUACGGGUGAAAGUAGGGGAUCUUCGGACCUUGCGCGAUUGAAUGAGCCGAUGUCGGAUUAGCUAGUUGGCGGGGUAAAGGCCCACCAAGGCGACGAUCCGUAGCUGGUCUGAGAGGAUGAUCAGCCACACUGGAACUGAGACACGGUCCAGACUCCUACGGGAGGCAGCAGUGGGGAAUAUUGGACAAUGGGCGCAAGCCUGAUCCAGCCAUACCGCGUGGGUGAAGAAGGCCUUCGGGUUGUAAAGCCCUUUUGUUGGGAAAGAAAAGCAGCAGGUUAAUACCCCGCUGUUCUGACGGUACCCAAAGAAUAAGCACCGGCUAACUACGUG